Molecule: ribosomal RNA, 253 nt
Filed under: uncultured bacterium
Lineage: Bacteria
Description: partial 16S ribosomal RNA
Rfam family: Bacterial small subunit ribosomal RNA
Source: RNAcentral
UACGUAGGGGACAAGCGUUGUCCGGAUUCAUUGGGCGUAAAGAGCGUGUAGGCGGCCAGGUAGGUCGGUUGUGAAAACUGGAGGCUCAACCUUCAGAGGUCGACCGAAACCAUCUGGCUAGAGUCCGGGAGAGGAGAGUGGAAUUCCUGGUGUAGCGGUGAAAUGCGCAGAUAUCAGGAAGAACACCCGUGGCGAAAGCGGCUCUCUGGAACGGUACUGACGCUGAGACGCGAAAGCGUGGGGAGCGAACAGG